UGCCUACGGGGGGCAGCAGUGGGGAAUAUUGCACAAUGGGGGGAACCCUGAUGCAGCGACGCCGCGUGGGUGAAGAAGUCAUUCGUGACGUAAAGCCCUAUCAGCAGGGAAGAAAAUGACGGUACCUGACUAAGAAGCCCCGGCUAACUACGUGCCAGCAGCCGCGGUAAUACGUAGGGGGCGAGCGUUGUCCGGAAUGACUGGGCGUAAAGGGUGUGUAGGCGGUUUAUUAAGUUAGAAGUGAAAUACCUAGGGCUUAACCCAGGUGCUGCUUCUAAAACUGAUAGACUUGAGUGCAGUAGAGG
This 305-nucleotide ribosomal RNA is filed under the name uncultured bacterium. RNAcentral describes it as "bacterial SSU rRNA". It matches the Rfam family "Bacterial small subunit ribosomal RNA", at positions 335 to 657 of the family's 1533-position model. The record is from RNAcentral.